AGUGAACGCUGGCGGCAGGCCUAACACAUGCAAGUCGAACGGCAGCACAGUAAGAGCUUGCUCUUACGGGUGGCGAGUGGCGGACGGGUGAGGAAUACAUCGGAAUCUACUUUUUCGUGGGGGAUAACGUAGGGAAACUUACGCUAAUACCGCAUACGACCUACGGGUGAAAGCAGGGGAUCUUCGGACCUUUCGCGAUUGAAUGAGCCGAUGUCGGAUUAGCUAGUUGGCGGGGUAAAGGCCCACCAAGGCGACGAUCCGUAGCUGGUCUGAGAGGAUGAUCAGCCACACUGGAACUGAGACACGGUCCAGACUCCUACGGGAGGCAGCAGUGGGGAAUAUUGGACGAUGGGCGCAAGCCUGAUCCAGCCAUACCGCGUGGGUGAAGAAGGCCUUCGGGUUGUAAAGCCCUUUUGUUGGGAAAGAAAAGCAGCAGGUUAAUACCCCGCUGUUCUGACGGUACCCAAAGAAUAAGCACCGGCUAACUUCGUG
This 492-nucleotide ribosomal RNA is filed under the name uncultured bacterium. Its description in RNAcentral is "partial 16S ribosomal RNA". It matches the Rfam family "Bacterial small subunit ribosomal RNA", at positions 29 to 507 of the family's 1533-position model. The record is from RNAcentral.